ACGGUUACGCUACGUCACUAGUUGUUUUUGAGAAUUGUCAAAAAUUGAAAAUUAUUAUUUACAAAUAAUGUAAUAUUGGUUGUUUUCUAAUUUGUAUUUAGUUUUACAUCUGAACUUUUGUGUAUUAAGAUUUUCUUGGUGGUGUCUAAAUGUGUUUUAAUAUUAAUACGACAAAAGUUGUACUUCCUAACCUAUAAUUGUGUUUAAUAAUUUUAAUGAUCGUACUGUUUUGUUUCGUUGAAAAAGUUAGUAAAAGUGCCUAAAAAUGUAAUAGUGUAAGUGUAUUUUUGUAAAUACUGGUGAUAGUGCUUACAAAUAUAAUGGAUUUGGAUUAUUAUCAUAAAGGCGGCAGUACGAUACGCUCUCAUAACAGAAACUGUUUCUAACAUCUCCAGCUGCAGCAAAACCAAGAAAAAGAAGACAUUGCUACCGACCACAGUGCAAAAAUAAAACUAAUAAAGAAUGCGACUUUUGUAAUAAACUUUUAUGUGGAAGCUGUAAUCAGUCAAAAACAUUGUUUUGUCGUCAAUUCAAAUAAGUGUUCUGUGUGUGUUUAUGUGUAUGGUUGUAACUGUAAGUUAUAAAUGAAAAAUAAAUAAAAUAAUGACAGAUUAA
This is a long non-coding RNA of Melitaea cinxia (Glanville fritillary), 615 nucleotides long. RefSeq lists it as uncharacterized. The transcript has 2 exons. NCBI's taxonomy places the organism in Eukaryota, Metazoa, Arthropoda, Insecta, Lepidoptera, Nymphalidae. The record is from RefSeq and is a predicted model, not a curated record.